GUGGGGAAUCUUGCGCAAUGGGCGAAAGCCUGACGCAGCCAUGCCGCGUGAAUGAUGAAGGUCUUAGGAUUGGAAAAUUCUUUCACCGGGGACGAUAAUGACGGUACCCGGAGAAGAAGCCCCGGCUAACUUCGUGCCAGCAGCCGCGGUAAUACGAAGGGGGCUAGCGUUGCUCGGAAUUACUGGGCGUAAAGGGCGCGUAGGCGGACAGUUUAGUCAGAGGUGAAAGCCCAGGGCUCAACCUUGGAAUUGCCUUUGAUACUGGCUGUCUUGAGUACGGGAGAGGUGAGUGGAACUCCGAGUGUAGAGGUGAAAUUCGUAGAUAUUCGGAAGAACACCAGUGGCGAAGGCGACUCACUGGCCCGUUACUGACGCUGAGGCGCGAAAGCGUGGGGAGCAAACAGGAUUAGAUACCCUGGUAGUCC
RNAcentral lists this ribosomal RNA (425 nucleotides) under uncultured bacterium. Its description in RNAcentral is "bacterial SSU rRNA". It matches the Rfam family "Bacterial small subunit ribosomal RNA", at positions 354 to 796 of the family's 1533-position model. The record is from RNAcentral.